AACGAUGAAACUUAAAUGAAUUCUUCGGAAUGAUUUUAAUUGGAUUAGUGGCGAACGGGUGAGUAACGCGUGAGUAACCUGCCUUACACAAGGGGAUAGCCUCUGGAAACGGAGAAUAAUACCCUAUGAAACUAUCUUAUCGCAUGAAAAGAUAGUCAAAGUGUUUUAGCGGUGUAAGAUGGACUUGCGUCUGAUUAGCUAGUUGGUGAGAUAACAGCCCACCAAGGCAACGAUCAGUAGCCGGCUUGAGAGAGUGUAGGGCCACAUUGGGACUGAGACACGGCCCAGACUCCUACGGGAGGCAGCAGUGGGGAAUUUUGCACAAUGGGGGCAACCCUGAUGCAGCGACGCCGCGUGAUUUAGAAGGCCUUCGGGUUGUAAAAAUCUUUUGUAUAGGAAGAAAAUGACAGUACUAUACGAAUAAGGUCCGGCUAAUUACGUGCCAGCAGCCGCGGUAAUACGUAAGGACCGAGCGUUGUCCGGAAUCAUUGGGCGUAAAGGGUACGUAGGCGGUUAGAAAAGUUAGAAGUGAAAGGCUAUAGCUCAACUAUAGUAAGCUUUUAAAACUGUUUAACUUGAGAGAUGGAAGGGAGAGUGGAAUUCCUAGUGUAGCGGUGAAAUGCGCAGAUAUUAGGAGGAAUACCGGUGGCGAAGGCGACUUUCUGGCCAUUAUCUGACGCUGAGGUACGAAAGCGUGGGUAGCAAACAGGAUUAGAUACCCUGGU
This 725-nucleotide ribosomal RNA is filed under the name uncultured Anaerococcus sp. Its description in RNAcentral is "bacterial SSU rRNA". It matches the Rfam family "Bacterial small subunit ribosomal RNA", at positions 50 to 791 of the family's 1533-position model. The record is from RNAcentral. Lineage: Bacteria; Bacillati; Bacillota; Tissierellia; Tissierellales; Peptoniphilaceae.